AUUCCAAAUGCCAACACAACCAAGGGAUGGUCAGUUCCCGAUUUACCUAGAAUCCCUGGGUCUGACCAUCAUAGAUACAUCAUCAUACAUAUUUAUGCCUUGUUUCCCCAAUGUGCCGGGAUCAUAUGUGCAGGGUUAACGUCUUGUACCAAGAAUUGAUUGUACCAGGUAACAGAGUUUCGGUUGGUGCUGGUUGUACAGUAGCGUGAGGCCCAGCCUUGUGAGGGCUGUGACCGACUCGAGAUUGCCAGUCUGUC
Pelobates cultripes (western spadefoot toad) is the source of this 257-nucleotide non-coding RNA. The record is from the annotation of a GenBank genome assembly. Lineage: Eukaryota; Metazoa; Chordata; Amphibia; Anura; Pelobatidae.